AAAGUUUAACAGACAAUCGCUGGUGGUGUUUAAGGCACCACGAGAGGAAAGUCCGGGCUCCAUAGGGCAGGGUGCUGGAUAACGUCCAGUCAGCGCGAGUUGAAGGAUAGUGCCACAGAAAUGGACCGCCGAUGGCCGCUUAGCGUGCACAGGCAAGGAUGGAACCGAGGUGUAAGAGACCCCGAGGAACGCUGGUGACUUCGUUCCUGGUAAACCCCACUUGGAGCAAGACCUAAUGGAACGCACGCUUUCUCUUUCGAGGGAAUGCAUCCUUAGCCCGAGGCGCGUUCAGGUUGGUCGCUGGAGCCACUCAGUAAUGUUUGGCCUAGAUAGAUGAUUGUCGCUUGGAGUGGGAGGGUAGUUCCCGUAUAUACCACGAAUAGCACAGAACCCGGCUUACGGUAAACUUUCACA
This 414-nucleotide RNase P RNA is filed under the name Paenibacillus sp. IHBB 10380. RNAcentral's name for it is "Bacterial RNase P class A". It matches the Rfam family "Bacterial RNase P class A". Rfam says of the family: Ribonuclease P (RNase P) is a ubiquitous endoribonuclease, found in archaea, bacteria and eukarya as well as chloroplasts and mitochondria. Its best characterised activity is the generation of mature 5'-ends of tRNAs by cleaving the 5'-leader elements of precursor-tRNAs. Lineage: Bacteria; Bacillati; Bacillota; Bacilli; Caryophanales; Paenibacillaceae. The record is from Rfam by way of RNAcentral.